This 345-nucleotide ribosomal RNA is filed under the name uncultured bacterium. RNAcentral describes it as "partial 16S ribosomal RNA". It matches the Rfam family "Bacterial small subunit ribosomal RNA", at positions 338 to 694 of the family's 1533-position model. The record is from RNAcentral.
CCUACGGGUGGCAGCAGUCGAGAAUCAUUCACAAUGGGGGAAACCCUGAUGGUGCGACGCCGCGUGGGGGAAUGAAGGUCUUCGGAUUGUAAACCCCUGUCAUGUGGGAGCAAAUUAAAAAGAUAGUACCACAAGAGGAAGAGACGGCUCACUCUGUGCCAGCAGCCGCGGCAAUCCAGAGGUCUCAAGCGUUGUUCGGAAUCACUGGGCGUAAAGUGUGCGUAGGCUGUUUCGUAAGUCGUGUGUGAAAGGGGCGGGCGGAGCCCGGGGACGGCACAAGAUAAUGCGGGACUAGAGGAAAGGAGGGGGAAGCGGAAUUCGCGGUGUAGCAGGGAAAUGCGUAGA